AUGAAGGGUAUGAAGAGAAAUGCCUCUUCCUUAGUUCAAGAGAGUAAGGCAGGCAACAAGGAUGAGGGUCCGGCGGAAGUCAAGAAACAAGAGAACACUGACCUGGAGAAACUCUAUGUAGCAGGCCUUCGUCGGAGACAUGGCCGAACUACAAUUGUCAAGUGCCUCCGGUGUACACGCUUCAUUGGCUUCUUUAUCCUUAUGUGUGGAAAUUUGGCUUGUAAGUUUUGCAUCGAUUGGGGAAACAUCCUAACACUAUCCAGUUGUAGUGAUAGCUUUGGGCGUGAUUGUGCUUCCUUUCAUGUAAGUGUCUUCCCCCCCAAGUAA
Molecule: ribosomal RNA, 327 nt
Filed under: Triticum aestivum (bread wheat)
Lineage: Eukaryota; Viridiplantae; Streptophyta; Magnoliopsida; Poales; Poaceae
Description: partial small subunit ribosomal RNA
Source: RNAcentral